RNAcentral lists this long non-coding RNA (592 nucleotides) under Elaeis guineensis (African oil palm). Its description in RNAcentral is "long non-coding RNA (EGUI_LNC069845)". Lineage: Eukaryota; Viridiplantae; Streptophyta; Magnoliopsida; Arecales; Arecaceae. The record is from RNAcentral.
AUGUAUACCCUAAAAGCCACAAAAAUUUUAAAAAAAAUUUGGAUAAAUUCAGUGCAAAAUUGAAAGAGUAUUGGAUUUCUAAAACUCUAUCUCAUAGAAAUCGAAAUCCAAACUUAUUCCUUUUAGAUUUGAUCCAAACCACCUUCCAUGUAAGAAAGAAGAGAGGAGACCUUUUGUGAACGUGGGAGAGAUUUGAGAGAGGGCUUUUGUCACACAAAAUAAGUGGAGAUUGGCGGUGAAUAAGAGAGAGGGCGUGGAGAAGGCUUAUGUGGCGCAAGGUGGAAUCCUAGUCUUACUAGGAUUCUGUCUUAUGACUUGUUUUAAUUUGGUUUCCCAAACCAAAUCAAAUCAAAAUUAGAUCAACCCAAUUAAAAUAGGUCUUAACCCAAUUAAGAACCUAAUUUAAUCAGAUUAAAUUAGAUUAAAAUCUAAUUUAAUUUUCUAAUCAAAUUAGAAAUUAGAUUGACCCAAGUCCUAAUUGAACUAGGACUAGUUUUUCCUUGCACUUGGCUUAUCCAAUAAACCAAUUGGACUUGAUCCAAUCAAGCCCAAAAUAAAUCUAAUUAAAUUAUAUUUAAUUAGACUUAAUCUC